RNAcentral lists this ribosomal RNA (625 nucleotides) under uncultured bacterium. RNAcentral describes it as "bacterial SSU rRNA". The stretch from base 1 to 543 matches the Rfam family "Bacterial small subunit ribosomal RNA", at positions 338 to 873 of the family's 1533-position model. The record is from RNAcentral.
CCUACGGGAGGCAGCAGUGGGGAAUCCUGCGCAAUGCGCGAAAGCGUGACGCAGCAACGCCGCGUGGGGGAAGAAGGCCUUCGGGUUGUAAACCCCUUUCAGGAGGGACGAAGCCCGGGCGGUUAAUAGCCGACUCGGGUGACGGUACCUCCAGAAGAAGCCCCGGCUAACUACGUGCCAGCAGCCGCGGUAAUACGUAGGGGGCAAGCGUUGUCCGGAAUCAUUGGGCGUAAAGAGCGUGUAGGCGGUCCGGUAAGUCGGCUGUGAAAGUCCAGGGCUCAACCCUGGGAUGCCGGUCGAUACUGCCGGACUAGAGUUCGGAAGAGGCGAGUGGAAUUCCCGGUGUAGCGGUGAAAUGCGCAGAUAUCGGGAGGAACACCUAUGGCGAAGGCAGCUCGCUGGGACGUUACUGACGCUGAGACGCGAAAGCGUGGGGAGCAAACGAGGAUUAGACUACCCGUGGUACGUCCACGCCGUAAACGAUGGGCACUAGGUGUGGGAGGUGUCGACUCCUCCGUGCCGGNGCUACGCAUAGUGCCCGCCGUCGGGAGGUACGGCCGCGACGACGUAACUACAAGAAGUAGACGGCGNGAGACGUGCCGACGGACGACGACGAGGGAGUAGG